CCAUCUGGAAGAAACACAGAGAGUAGCACGCCGAAGGCGGUUCCCGUUCCAUAGAGAAAGAAGUGAUUCCACAGGGUCCAGUUCAAUUUAUUUCACUGCUAACUCGGGAGCAACCAACACAGAUGAUGGAGAAAGUGAAGGCGGGUACACCACAGCCAAUGCUGAGUCUGAUUAUGACCGAGAGUCUGAGAAGGAGAGUGAAGAAGGGGAGGACGAACUGAGCUGUGAAACAGUGAGAACAGCAAGACGGGAUUCCCUGGAUCUCAUCAACGAGGAUGAAACGCAUUUAGUCCUUGAUUCCUUGCAGGAUGAAGGACUGAGCCAGCUACUGCAGCAGGCAGAUCACUUGCACAGUGGUGAUGAGCAGGAGAAGAGAGAGGGAUUCCAGCUGCUGCUGAAUAAUAAACUGGUGCACAGGGAAACAUCUUCAACAGGUGGAUGUGCUGGACUGCCUGGAUUUUGUGCUGACAAACAUCUUGGAGCUGAGGAGGGAAGUAGAGGAACUACGAAACAGCCUGCAGAACCUUGCUGCAGAUAUUGUGGGUGAAGUCAGGUUAGCGUCUGCCCUUCUUGUUUUGUCAUCUUUUGUCUGCUCUGCUGUGUUUUGUGUUCUACAGCACAGGGAAACAUCUUGAACAGUUGGGUGUCUGUUAAAUGGAAAAAGUGGAAAAAAAUGUCUCUUUAGUUUCUGCUGCCGUUAUAUCUUGGCAGUGAGAUUAUGUUGAAAUAAGACCAAGUGCUAGGUCCUGCACUUUGGUCACAGCAACCUCAUACAUCACUACAGGCUUGGGACAGACAGAGUUGCUGACAAAACUGCAUGGAGGAGAAGGAUCUGAGGGCAUUAGUCAGCAGCUGGCUGACUAGUAGUGUACCUGGGUAGCUAAGAAGGCCAGUGGCAUCCUGGCUUGUAUCAGAAAUAGUGCAGCCAGCAUGAGCAGGAGGUGAUGGUCCUUCUGCAGUCAGCUCUGGUGAGGCUGCAUCUUGAAUACUGUGUUCAGUUUUGGGUCCCUCAAUGCGAGGAAGACUUGGAUCAUAUCCAAAGAUGGGCAACAGAGCCGUGAGGGGACUGGAGCACAAGUCUGAUGGGGAGCAGCUGAGGGAACUGGGAUUGUUUGGCCUGGAGACGAGGAGGCUCAGGGGAGACCUCAUAGCUUUCUACAACUUCCUGUUGUAGAGGUUGUGGCAAGGUGGAGGUUGGCUUCUUCUCCUGGGUAUCAGCAACAGGACAAGAGAUGAUGGCCUUGAGUUAUGCCAAGGGAAGUUCAGGUUGGCU
Molecule: long non-coding RNA, 1273 nt
Organism: Lagopus leucura (white-tailed ptarmigan)
Lineage: Eukaryota; Metazoa; Chordata; Aves; Galliformes; Phasianidae
Exons: 3
Source: RefSeq, a predicted model, not a curated record